This is an unclassified non-coding RNA of Callithrix jacchus (white-tufted-ear marmoset), 117 nucleotides long. It matches the Rfam family "Metazoan signal recognition particle RNA". From Rfam's summary of the family: The signal recognition particle (SRP) is a universally conserved ribonucleoprotein. It is involved in the co-translational targeting of proteins to membranes. The record is from Ensembl. Lineage: Eukaryota; Metazoa; Chordata; Mammalia; Primates; Cebidae.
GCUGGGCGUGGUGGCUCACGCCUGUAAUCUCAGCACUUUGGGAGGCUGAGGCAGGUGGAUCACCUGAGGUCAGGAGUUCAAGACCAGCCUGGCCAACAUGGUGAAAACCUGUCUUUA